AGAGUUUGAUCCUGGCUCAGAUUGAACGCUGGCGGCAGGCCUAACACAUGCAAGUCGAGCGGUAACAGGAAGAAGCUUGCUUCUUUGCUGACGAACGGCGGACGGGUGAGUUAUGCCUGGGAACUUGCCUUUGGGUUGGGGGAUACCAUGGAAACUGUAGCUAAUACGCAUAUAUGUACGCAUCAAAUUGGGGAUCUUCGGACCUCACGCCAAGAGAUAGGCCCAAUUGAGAUUAGCUAGUUGGUGGGGUAAAGGCUCACCAAGGCGACGAUCUCUACCUGUUCUGAGAGGAUGAUCAGCCACCCUGGGACUGAGACACGGCCCAAACUCCUACGGGAAGCAGCAGUGGGGAAUAUUGCACUAUGGGGGAAACCCUGAUGCAGCCAUGCCGCGUGUGUGAAGAAGGCCUUCGGGUUGUAAAGCACUUUCAGUGGUGAGGAAGGUUGGUAGCUUAAUACGCUACCAAAUUGACAUUAGCCACAGAAGAAGCACCGGCUAACUCCGUGCCAGCAGCCGCGGUAAUACGGAGGGUGCGAGCGUUAAGCGGAAUUACUGGGCGUAAAGCGUACGUAGGCGGCUUAUUAAGCAAGAUGUGAAAGCCCCGGGCUCAACCUGGGAAUUGCAUUUUGAACUGGUAGGCUCGAGUUUAGAAGAGGGUGGUAGAAUUUCCAGUGUAGCGGUGAAAUGCGUAAAUAUUGGAAGGAAUACCAGUGGCGAUGGCGGCCACUAGUCAAAAACUGACGCUGAGUACGAAGCGUGGGGACCAACAGGAUUAGAUCCCUGGUAUUCCACCCGUAGACAAUUCA
This 806-nucleotide ribosomal RNA is filed under the name Idiomarina sp. Loihi-Chm(16S)-1. RNAcentral describes it as "bacterial SSU rRNA". It matches the Rfam family "Bacterial small subunit ribosomal RNA", at positions 8 to 813 of the family's 1533-position model. Lineage: Bacteria; Pseudomonadati; Pseudomonadota; Gammaproteobacteria; Alteromonadales; Idiomarinaceae. The record is from RNAcentral.